AACGGCCUACCAAGGGUACGAUGGGUAGCUGGUCUGAGAGGAUGAUCAGCCACACUGGAACUGAGACACGGUCCAGACUCCUACGGGAGGCAGCAGUGGGGAAUAUUGGACAAUGGGCGAAAGCCUGAUCCAGCCAUGCCGCGUGGGUGAUUGAAGGCCUUCGGGUUGUAAAGCCCUGUCGGAGGGGACGAAAGCCGCAAGGUUUGACGGUACCUUCCAAGAAAGCACCGGCUAACUCCGUGCCAGCAGCCGCGGUAAUACGGAGGGUGCAAGCGUUGCUCGGAAUUACUGGGCGUAAAGCGUACGCAGGCGGCUUUGUAAGUCGGGUGUGAAAGCCCCAGGCUCAACCUGGUAACUGCAUCCGAUACUGCAAGGCUUGAGUUCGGGAGAGGGAAGUGGAAUUCCUGGUGUAGAGGUGAAAUUCGUUGAUAUCAGGAGGAACACCGGCGGCGAAAGCGGCUUCCUGGCCCGAUACUGACGCUCAUGUACGAAAGCGUGGGGAGC
RNAcentral lists this ribosomal RNA (504 nucleotides) under uncultured bacterium. RNAcentral describes it as "bacterial SSU rRNA". It matches the Rfam family "Bacterial small subunit ribosomal RNA", at positions 259 to 769 of the family's 1533-position model. The record is from RNAcentral.